AAAAUGAGCACGUCAACUCUUGAUCAUUUUAGAAAUGUACUUCUGAAGUUUUUUAGAAUAGAAAUUUAUCAGCAUUCAACAGCUUGGACAGAUGGCAUAAAGGUAUAGAAUUAAGCACUACGGAUGGCAUUGUGUUUCGAUUCUACGAAAAUCGUGGUUCCAUGCCAAUACCAUUUGAUGGAUGUCCGUUCGUGCAAUUGGGAACAGAAGUAAGAGAAUGCCACUACGGUCCUAAUAGGAAGGAAAGAAAGAAAGCUCAGCCGGUAUGGUUGUCAUAUAACACAAUUUGUGACAAAAUAAUGAAAAGACACUGUAUUAUUAUUGAAAAUGAUAUUUUUCUGGUAUUUUUAAUUAUUUGGGUAACAUCUUUGUAAGCAUGAUUGCUUGGGUGGAAGAGAAAGUGCCAGGACAGUUGUUAUAUAUCUACCAGUUGGGCAUGGCAUUGUAAGCAUUCUUGGCUUAUCAAUUGCUGUGCAGUGAAUAAAGUUGUUUACAUUCCAUGAUGUCAUUUGAUGUGGUAAUAAUGUAAUGGAAAUUGGAAUGUAAUUGGUUAGUCGAAUGAAAACUAUUUGUGAUGGUUAUAUUAUAUGGGAAACAAAGUAUAGCAUGUGAUACAUAAUUAUCGGAUUUAUCCAUAAUCAUAUUUUGUAAAGUCUAUCUAUCAGUUAAGGGUCUCACAUUAACAUAUAUUUCUUAGUGUUUAAACAAAAUGAAUUAAGCUAAACGUUAUUGUUUUAAUGGUAUCUCCGUGUCCCUUUUAAAAGCAUCUGUGUCAAACUAAAAAUAAUACUUUUUCUAGAUAUUAUUAUUCACAUGUCAUUCAUGCAUGAUGUCACAUUAAAAGUCAACUUUUCUUAUGGUUGUCAAACCAUUGGGUUACAUUCUAUCUAGCUUCAUGGCAUAAUUAAUAAUACAACUGUUUUUGACGAGUAACAGUAGGUUUGACAAGUUAUUCAUUAUUUGUUUGAAAAGUACGGAUAUGGAGACUUUUCCCGCGACAAGCGUCAUUUGCCAUCAUCCACAGAAUGUAUGUCAUUGAAAGAAAAGAUGUUGGGAAAUUUCUUCGUGGUCUUUGUGCUGAUGAUUGUCGAAUUUUCAAGAUGUUUUGGGGAAUGCUCACGCAACUAGUUGCUGGAAAAUGUCCUCAGAUAGGGGCCUUUUCCCCAUGUGAUAGUUGUGGUAUUGGAUGUUCUAUUUACAAGACACAUGAAAAAAAAUCUACAACAGGCUAUUACAGAAGAAAUAGGAUGUCAUCUUAUUAUUUCAUGAAAUGCUGAAGUUUGUAUUUUGCUCAUUCACUGUAUGUAGUGUGUUUCUUCUUAUAUCAGUAUUUUGCUUCAAAUUUCACUGUAAAACGUGGACAGAAUUCACAUUGAUGACCUGUUCCUGAUAUAUUUCAUAAACAGAAUCCUUGAUUUUAUUAAUGCAUGUAUUUCGUGCAUGAACAUGUAUUUAAGAAUGAUCCCGAACAUGCAUACGCCGGUGGCAAGAGGAAAAUAAUUCAAAACACAAAGAAACACGGCUGUUGCUGCCAGAUUCGAAUGAAAACCAUCUUGCGGUUCCCAGACUAUAAGCUUGAAGGCACAGACACAAGGCGGAAAAGACAGGCUGUCAUAGAUCGGCUAAAAUCAGCUGAAGUCUCUUCUUUGAGAGGCGAAGUGUGUGUUCUUGUUGCCUAUGUUGGAACCCACGAACAUCACGUAAUGGGCGAGGUUUGUAUUACUUGUAAUGGGAAUCAAGAUCAAUGUAAGAUUAUACUUUUAAAAACUUAACAAUUAUUGUGUACAACAGCAAGUCAUAGAGAUGAGACAUGUCACAUGCAAGAUAAUCUGGAAGAUCUUAACCCAGAUUUUCAAAUUCUGAGCCCUUCCUUAUCAAUAAAUGUGUUUAUGCAAUUUAUGAUAUUUGGUAUUUUAAAAUCUUAAAUAUUUAUGAAACUGCAGUCCUUAAAUAUCCAUUUUCAUUUGGCAUUGAAUUUUGUAUAGUAGAUCUCACAAGUUAUUGUUAAUAUGUUGAUUCUUUAGGGCAUGAUACAUCAUCAAGUAGACCUCAACCACAUUUUAUAAAAUUAUGGCCCUGUGUUAAAAAUUAUCUCGGCACUUGUGGCCAAUCUUAUUCCUGUACAUGUAAAUAAUAAAAAAGUCCCCAAAUCAUCCCAGAAAGAAACUGGAGGUAGAAAGUUUUUAUGUCAGAUCAUCAGAUACCUGUUAGUGAAACUAUAACAUUUGCUUGUAAGUUUGCUUGUAUUCAUGUAAGUGACUCAUGGCACACUUGGGCCUCUUGUUUGCUUUAUCAGCACUUACAUGGUAAAAGUUUUUAAAUAUUAAUUACAGUCUGUGAAACAGGUAUCAGGCCUUUCCCCAUACAUUUGCUAAUGCACUGGUGUAAACAUGCGUGAUAAGGGUGAUACUGUGGUAUCUGUUUGAAUUUGUUUAAUUUUUAAGUUGCUACAUCAAAACUUAUUAUACUGUAGACGGUUCAUUUUUUGUACAAAUAAUUAAUAUAUAAACAGCAUUUGAAACGAUAUUCAACCUUUUAAUUUCACAUUGGUUGUCUGGUUGAUUUUACAUACAUGUUGAAGAAUGAAAGCAACACAAAUUGGUGAGGACAGUUAAUAAAUGAAAGAUUUAGGCACAGGGUUUCCUGGUUUUUAAGCACCUUGGAAAAGGCCUGAGAUAUUUUGAAAUAAGAGUUGUAGAAAGAAACCUAUAAAACAUAUGGAAAACCAGAAGGAGAUAAAUACUUUAUGUAUGAAACUUACAAAAAUAAAAAAAGU
Long non-coding RNA from Dreissena polymorpha, 2776 nucleotides. RefSeq lists it as uncharacterized. NCBI's taxonomy places the organism in Eukaryota, Metazoa, Mollusca, Bivalvia, Myida, Dreissenidae. The transcript is spliced from 3 exons. The record is from RefSeq and is a predicted model, not a curated record.